GAUCCUCAUCAGCCCUGAUGGAGACUCCAAAGAGCUGGUAGGUGCAAGAAGCACCACGUUCUGUGGAACAAUCUCCGUGGCUGGUGGUGGAGCCAAACUCUGGAACCUGGGAAUGAACACUGCUCUAAGUGCUAAUGUGCAAGCUGAGAAAUGCCCAACUCAGAAGUGGCUUGACCAACAGGAUGACCACUAGGAAAGAACAAAAGGCCCGAAUCCACUUGGCUGGACAGCCCUGGGAAGCAGCCACGAGGCGUUCUCAGCUCUGUUGAAGGAAUUGGGAAGCCAGCAAGUGGUCGGUGAAGAGCCUCCACUGGAGCAUAAGCCUCGUGACUCCAAACUGGGCUCCUUCCACUUUAUGCACCAAGUGGCUGCUUUCCACUCACACUGGUUUGCUUAAUCUUCUUUGGACGUAUGGAGCAGGUGAAGCUCCUGCAACAGCAGACCAGCAGGGGAAACUUAAAUUGCCCUUUAUACUUAAUGAACGAGGAAUGCAACACCUUUCUCGUAGAAUUGGCUCACCAACGCAGAGAUUCACAGCUGAAGAAGCAAGAAGAGAGAAAUCAAAACCUUCAACGAAGGACAGAGGUGACUUUGGAAUGCACCCUAUGAAGUCCUGCUGCUCUCCUGCUUUUGAGGAUAAGGAAUAUUCUUACUUCGUGGAAAAUUAAUGUCAAUUCGAGCAGUCAUCACUGAACCCGAGAACUCAGUUCAGAAACCGGACUUCUCAAAGCAGAGAAGACUAAAAGAUGACACGGGAAGUUGGACGAAACAUAUUCUCUGCUCUCACCAGCCCUGUGUUUCUAAGACAUGUUCUUGUGACAGAUUAUAAAGUUAAUUUGGUGGCUGCACAUAAUUGCCAAAAUACUUUAUUAUUUGACCCCGUGAUCAGGAGAUUAAUAAACAUAGACUUUCAUCAGGCGUUUCUCAUGCCUCGCUAGAACUCUUCCAUGAGUGACCCUCUGAUCUCUCAGCCUCCACCUCUUACCCCUUCUGGUCCACCUUCCUCACCACCAUCAGCGUGAUCUUCUCAAAAAAAUCUUAUGGGAACUCACUUCUGUCCAAAAGAAAACAAAACGAAAACCGAGGAACCAAAUUCCUCUGUAGUUUUCUGUUGCGUAGAAUUACGUCUUCUUCUUCAUGUUGAUGUGUGAUCUCACCUCAACCUACUUCUCUUGAUCACCUCCUUCUGCUCUUCAUGUGGUUCCUGUCUUCUCCAGCUAUCUUAAAUUUCCAAAUAUUCCUUAAUAUGCCAAGAUUUUUCAUGUCUCUGAUCGGAAUGUUUUUGCCUCUUUCUUCGUCUGAGGAGAGUAGUGAAUAAUGAGGCAGGAGAGAUGCACGCGAGAUGGUAGUGGAGAGCUGGUACUGGUAGAGAAUUUGCACUUUAUCCU
This 1388-nucleotide long non-coding RNA is filed under the name Equus caballus (horse). RNAcentral's name for it is "lncRNA (ENSECAG00000048189.1)". The record is from RNAcentral. Lineage: Eukaryota; Metazoa; Chordata; Mammalia; Perissodactyla; Equidae.